This 566-nucleotide ribosomal RNA is filed under the name uncultured eukaryote. Its description in RNAcentral is "bacterial SSU rRNA". It matches the Rfam family "Eukaryotic small subunit ribosomal RNA", at positions 21 to 551 of the family's 1831-position model. The record is from RNAcentral.
UAGUAUAUGCUUGUCUCAAAGGCUAACCCAUGCAUGUCUAAUUACUUGCUGCCCUAAAGUGAAACCGCAAAUGGCUCAUUAAAUCAUUUGUGUUCUACUAAAUGUGAAUCACAUACACGGAUAACUGUGGUAAUUCUAAAGCUAAUACGUGCACCUAAUUCCCAAUAGCGCUGGCCCUCGCGGUCAAUGUUAAAAGGACCCAUUUAUUAAACCAAAACCAAUGGAGCGUCGGCUUCGGUCGCUCGUUCCUCGUCGGGGUGACUCUGGAUAACUCACGCUAAUCGCAUGACCUACGUGUCGGCAACAAAUCUUUCAAGCGUCUGCCUUAUCAACUGUCAAUGGUAGUUUAACUGACUACCAUGGUUGUAACGGGUAACGGGAAAUCAGGGUUCGGUUCCGGAAAGGGAGCCUGAAAAACGGCUACCACAUCCAAGGAAGGCAGCAGGCACGCAAAUUACCCACUUCCAAAGCGAAGAGGUAGUGACAAAAAAUAACAAUGCACCACUCUAUUGAGGCGCUGCAUUUGGAAUGAAAACAAUCUAAAUCCUUUAACGAGGAUCUAUUGA